GUUAGAGCUAUAAAAGCUAAAAUGCACCGCUACGAAACAUGAAUUCAAGAUAAAAGACUGAGUCGAGAAGGAAAGAAUUCCAAGGAAUGAGCAAACACUUAGCGGGAAAUUGGCCUUCAGAUGGGUGGGCAACUGAGGCAAAAAGAGGAGUAAUGGAUUCACUCGGCAGUGACUUCAGAAUUGAAACCAGGGCUUACUCUGUCAACAGGGAUGCAGUUCAAAACCAAGAAUGUAAAUGGCAAUGUCCAUUUUCAUAUGCUACAUUAUGUUCCAGUCCGUGGAGCAACCAAGA
This 292-nucleotide long non-coding RNA is filed under the name Struthio camelus australis. RNAcentral describes it as "lncRNA (ENSSCUG00000016417.1)". Lineage: Eukaryota; Metazoa; Chordata; Aves; Struthioniformes; Struthionidae. The record is from RNAcentral.